UUUAGCCAGUGUCUUCAACUCUGCG
This 25-nucleotide microRNA is filed under the name Canis lupus familiaris (dog). RNAcentral describes it as "cfa-miR-8840". Lineage: Eukaryota; Metazoa; Chordata; Mammalia; Carnivora; Canidae. The record is from miRBase by way of RNAcentral.